AACAACUCAACAAAACUCCCAUAACAUGAGGCAACUGAAUAAUUUUCUUCAAAUAUAAGCCAUAAAUAGCAUUUCAAAGUUCCAGUAGCAAUUCCAGAAAAAUAUACUAGACCUCUGGCCAUACAGCUGCAAUUACAAUUUAGUUGAGUACACUAAAUUGCUAAAAAGCAUUUUGCAUGUUCCAUGUUUGAUGACUUGUAACAUGUUUCAAUAUAUCCCUUUCCGGAAGUGUUUAUUGGAGCGAUUCUGCUACGACGAGAAGUGACCAAGAAAUCAUCAAUACAUAGCCUACUCAAAAAUCGUUUGAUUGUUGAGGACUCAUUCUUGUAUGACUAAUCCAACUCUCAAAACUCUUUAACUCUAACUGCAUCGCGAGGAAUGUCAUAAGCUUCUCUUGGCCUUGAUUUCUUUACACCUGCAGUAAACCAAACCUUCUCCGACCUGUAGCCUUCGACAGACACAUUUGUGAUCUUCACCCAUACUAAGACUUUGGUCUUCAUUCCUUCUAUGCCUAUAAGCUUGUCUCUAAGUAGAAUGCAUUUUACCCUCGUAGCAUACCUAAUCAAAGUGCCGUCCUUGAAGGUGAUCUCACAUGGUGACGGAAGGUAAACGGUCAGCUUUGAUUUGGAGUCGUCUAAUUCAAAACUAGUUACGUUCUGAGGGAAAAGGCCAGGUGGGAGAUUGUGUUCUCGUAGAAGAUCUGGCAAACUCUUCAUAGGCGUUCCUGAGUAGGGGAAAAGAAUUUUUCUUAUAAUUCAUUUUGCUCAUUAACAUGAACCAAACCUAUGUUGCUCGGACUCUCAUAAAAUGUUGCCAGGUGCAUGUUGGAUCCUCCAACAGUAUUGCAUUUUUGGAGGAACCGACAUAGGUGCGGCAGCAUUUUGGAGAGUCCGGGCAACAUAGAACCAAACCUACUAUGUACUUGCCCAAACCAAUAUGCCCAUAAGAAAAACUAUGAUACUCAGAUAAGUGACUACAAGACUGCAAAAUGAAUAUGCACCUUUUAACUUGUUAAAGAUCCACUUCGCCUUCUCUUCAACAGUACUUGAGAUGCUCUGCAACAAUAAAUUGAAAAUCGAGUUAAGUGCACUUUGCUGAAGUUAAAAGAGAUCGAGGUUUUGAGUUCAGUGUUAGGACAAUCAGAUGAUAGUACAAUCUCUUUUUGAUGAUACACGCAAGAUUGCUAAUUGAUGGCUGAUAAACAAGCUGAAAUCCAGAGAAAAACGAUCGAGAAUCUGAUUCUGGUUUUUAGCAUGUCAACUGCGUUGAUUUUUCUUUCAAAUGCAAUGCCUACAUCUACACUUAGCCAAGAUGGACAGAUAUGAAAGGAAAAAAGCACCUAAAAAGGAAGUGUCUUCACAUUUUACCUAAGCUGGUAGCCUAAGUGCCUAACCAACAUGAGCAUAUAUUAGAGACCUUGAGAUUGUUGAUCUUUCUUAUUUCCUAUUAGGAAUUUUCCACAAUCGCCGUCAUAAUUCUACAUUUUGAGGAUAAGUACUUAAAAGCGUGAUCGCCCUAUUUACCAUCCUAAAACAUAAGAACAAACUGAAAGUAACUACUUUAACAGCAAGAACAAUUACACCUCAGUCCAGUUGGGAUCGGCUACUAACCAUGUUUCUGGAUAUAAAUGUGACUAAUAUACAACCCAAAAAUCAAAGAAGGCAUAAUUGCAAAGAAGUAAAAAAGGGCAGUCCGGUGCACAAAGCAUCCGGCAUUUCAGGGAAGGGCCGCAACUCUAGGGUGUGAUAUAGACAGUCUGCCCUAAUGCAAACAUUAGUGACCGCUUCCACGGCUCGAACCCAUGAAGGUAACACAAACUUGACUUUAAGUACCUUCCUUUCUCACUUGUAUUUCUUGGUAAAAUUUCUAAAACAAAGUUUAAAAAAAAAAAUAAUAAUAAUAAUAAUACAAAGUAAGCGAAUUGCGGAUGAGAGUGCAACUAGAUCCAUCAAAGUGUUGUGACAAAAUUUCUGGCAGUUGGUCCAUAAAAUGGCUAAAUGCAAAACUUGUAUAAAUAUUAAACUGUCUAAGAACAAAAAGGGAACUGAAGUUAGAACUCUAAGAUGGACUGAUGGAGCAUCUCUUCAUUAGAAAUAAGUUAACACUGUAGCAUAAAAUGGCAAAAUGCAAAACUAGGAUAAACACUUCUCAAUGUGAUGCAUUAGAAUUUCUCAAUUUAAUUGAAGUUUCUCAAUUUAGGCAACCAACACUCAAGAACAUAAGGGGGGCAAAGAAUUAAAUGUUCAAUUAAAAAAUGAGCAAAAGGGGUUCAGUGAAUACAAUUAAAGAAUCAAAAUACUAAAUCAAGAAUGUCCCAAAUGAAGUAAUAACAACCAAAAAUCAAGAAAAGGUGAAAUCUUGAUUUUAAAAAAAAUGAAGAAAUUGGGGAAACAUACAUUGAUAUCUCCAGAGAUAUUGUUAAAUUCUUCUUUAGCUUUCUUGGU
This 2444-nucleotide long non-coding RNA is filed under the name Nicotiana tabacum (common tobacco). RNAcentral describes it as "long non-coding RNA (NTAB_LNC018425)". The record is from RNAcentral. Lineage: Eukaryota; Viridiplantae; Streptophyta; Magnoliopsida; Solanales; Solanaceae.